RNAcentral lists this unclassified non-coding RNA (296 nucleotides) under uncultured Caryophanales bacterium. Its description in RNAcentral is "uncultured Bacillales bacterium contains 16S-23S intergenic spacer region". The record is from RNAcentral. Lineage: Bacteria; Bacillati; Bacillota; Bacilli; Caryophanales.
UUGGACUACAAGGGUUUCUAAUCCUGUUUGCUCCCCACGCUUUCGCGCCUCAGUGUCAGUUACAGGCCAAAAAGCCGCCUUCGCCACUGGUGUUCCUCCUAAUCUCUACGCAUUUCACCGCUACACUAGGAAUUCCACUUUUCUCUCCUGCACUCAAGUUUAACAGUUUCCAAUGACCCUCCACGGUUGAGCCGUGGGCUUUCACAUCAGACUUAUUAAACCACCUGCGCGCGCUUUACGCCCAAUAAUUCCGGACAACGCUUGCCAUCUACGUAUUACCGCGGCUGCUGGCACUU